RNAcentral lists this ribosomal RNA (73 nucleotides) under Klebsiella aerogenes. RNAcentral's name for it is "partial 16S ribosomal RNA". It matches the Rfam family "Bacterial small subunit ribosomal RNA", at positions 1 to 71 of the family's 1533-position model. Lineage: Bacteria; Pseudomonadati; Pseudomonadota; Gammaproteobacteria; Enterobacterales; Enterobacteriaceae. The record is from RNAcentral. RNAcentral also lists the same sequence under 3 other names.
UUAAAUUGAAGAGUUUGAUCAUGGCUCAGAUUGAACGCUGGCGGCAGGCCUAACACAUGCAAGUCGAGCGGUA